RNAcentral lists this non-coding RNA (24 nucleotides) under Mus musculus (house mouse). Lineage: Eukaryota; Metazoa; Chordata; Mammalia; Rodentia; Muridae. The record is from RNAcentral.
UGCCAACAUGCCAAGGGGUAGAGG